This 315-nucleotide long non-coding RNA is filed under the name Elaeis guineensis (African oil palm). Its description in RNAcentral is "long non-coding RNA (EGUI_LNC064974)". The record is from RNAcentral. Lineage: Eukaryota; Viridiplantae; Streptophyta; Magnoliopsida; Arecales; Arecaceae.
CCUUCACUAAGAAACUCUUUUUUCAAAAAGUGUACCUUACUGCUGACAAAUAUCUUUUAUUCAGCAGGAAGGUAAAAGUAAUAUCUCCUCAUUUUCUUGGGGUACCCUAUGAAGUUACACUUAUCGAACCUAGAUCCGAGCUUGUCAGUUUGUAAUCAUUUAACAUAAGCUGGACAACCCCAGACCUUAAAGUACGUGAGAUUUGGCCUAUGCCCUGACCAUAUCUCAUAUGGUGUUUUACUAACUGAUUUGUUCAAAAUAUUAUUAAGCACAAGAUAAGCUAUCUCGAGUGCAUAUCUCCAAAAGAAGAUCGAC